CCUACGGGUGGCAGCAGUGGGGAAUAUUGCGCAAUGGGCGAAAGCCUGACGCAGCGACGCCGCGUGAGGGAUGAAGGUCUUCUGAUCGUAAACCUCUGUCAGCAGGGAAGAACGGUCACGGUGCUAAGCAGCAGUGAAUGGACGGUACCAGCAAAGGAAGCACCGGCUAACUCCGUGCCAGCAGCCGCGGUAAGACGGAGGGUGCGAGCGUUAAUCGGAAUGACUGGGCGGAAAGCGCGCGUAGGCGGUAUGUCAAGUCAAGGGUGAAAUCCCCGCGCUCAACGUGGGAACUGCCUUUGAUACUGGCAAACUGGAGUGUGUUCGCGGUUAGUGGCAUUCCUGGUGUAGGCGUCACAUCCGUAGGUAUCUGGAGGACCCUCAGUGGCGACGGCGACUCUCUGGCCCAUACCUGACGCUGCGGAGCGCAAGCGUGGGUAGCAACCAGGAUUAGAUACCCUGGUAGUC
This 465-nucleotide ribosomal RNA is filed under the name uncultured bacterium. RNAcentral's name for it is "partial 16S ribosomal RNA". It matches the Rfam family "Bacterial small subunit ribosomal RNA", at positions 338 to 795 of the family's 1533-position model. The record is from RNAcentral.